CUCCUACGGGAGGCAGCAGUGAGGAAUAUUGCGCAAUGGACGAAAGUCUGACGCAGCAAUGCCGCGUGAAUGAAGAAGGCCUAUGGGUUGUAAAAUUCUGUCAGAAGGGAAGAACAUCUUGGUUUGCAGCUAAGAUUGACGGUACCUUCAGAGGAAGCUCCGGCUAACUCCGUGCCAGCAGCCGCGGUAAUACGGGGGGAGCAAGCGUUGUCCGGAAUUAUUGGGCGUAAAGGGUGCGUAGGCGGACUGACAAGUCUGGUGUGAAAGUUUGCGGCUUAACCGUAAAAAGCCAUUGGAAACUGUCAGUCUUGAAUAACAGAGGGGGUAGUGGAAUUCCAGGUGUAGCGGUGAAAUGCGUAGAGAUCUGGAGGAACACCGGUGGCGAAGGCGACUGCCUGGCUGUGAAUUGACGCUGAGGCACGAAAGCGUGGGUAGCAAACAGGAUUAGAUACCCUGGUAGUCCACGCCGUAAACGAUGGAUACUAGCUGUCGGGAUUCGUCUCGGUGGCGCAGCAAACGCAUUAAGUAUCCCGCCUGGGGAGUACGAUCGCAAGGUUGAAACUCAAAGGAAUUGACGGGGGCCCGCACAAGCGGUGGAGCAUGUGGUUUAAUUCGAUGCAACGCGAAGAACCUUACCUGGGCUUGAACUGUUAAUGAUCGUGCCAGAGAUGGCAUUUUCCUUCGGGACAUUAUCAGAGGUGCUGCAUGGCUGUCGUCAGCUCGUGUCGUGAGAUGUUCGGUUAAGUCCGGCAACGAGCGCAACCCUUAUCUUUAGUUGCCAGCACGUCAUGGUGGGAACUCUAAAGAGACUGCCCGGGUUAACCGGGAGGAAGGUGGGGAUGACGUCAAGUCCUCAUGGCCCUUACGUCCAGGGCUACACACGUGCUACAAUGGUAGGUACAGCGAGAAGCGAAGCGGCGACGUGAAGCAGAUCUCAAAAAACCUAUCUCAGUUCGGAUUGCAGGCUGCAACUCGCCUGCAUGAAGUUGGAAUCGCUAGUAAUCGCAGAUCAGCACGCUGCGGUGAAUACGUUCCCGGGCCUUGUACACACCGCCCGUC
Molecule: ribosomal RNA, 1059 nt
Filed under: uncultured bacterium
Lineage: Bacteria
Description: bacterial SSU rRNA
Rfam family: Bacterial small subunit ribosomal RNA
Source: RNAcentral